Molecule: ribosomal RNA, 299 nt
Filed under: uncultured Slackia sp.
Lineage: Bacteria; Bacillati; Actinomycetota; Coriobacteriia; Eggerthellales; Eggerthellaceae
Description: partial 16S ribosomal RNA
Rfam family: Bacterial small subunit ribosomal RNA (bases 59-299)
Source: RNAcentral
GAUGGACGGGGCAGGCGGCUGGGUAAUAGAGGGGGGGGCAGGGGUGAGUAGGAAGUUGUGGGCGUAAGGGGCGCGGAGGCGGUGUGUUAGGGCGGAUGGUGAAGCCCAGGGCUCAACCCGGGAACUGCAUCCGAGAGUGGGAGGCGAGAGGAGGGGAGAGGUUGGUGGAAUGCCUCGGGUAGCGGUGAAAUGCGUAGAGAUGAGGAGGAACACCAGUGGCGAAGGCGGCCAACUGGACAGUAACUGACGCUGAGGCGCGAAAGCGUGGGUAGCAAACAGGAUUAGAUACCCGGGUAGUC